UUUCCAGCCGCCGCGGUAGUACAGAGGGUGCAAGCGUUGUUCGGAAUUAUUGGGCGUAAAGCGCGUGUAGGCGGCUUUGUAAGUUGGGUGUGAAAGCCCUCGGCUUAACCGAGGAAGUGCGCCCAAAACUGCAUGGCUUGAGUACCGGAGAGGGUGGCGGAAUUCCCGGUGUAGAGGUGAAAUUCGUAGAUAUCGGGAGGAACACCAGCGGCGAAGGCGGCCACCUGGACGGAUACUGACGCUGAGACGCGAAAGCGUGGGGAGCAAACAGGAUUAGAUACCCGCGUAGUCC
Molecule: ribosomal RNA, 292 nt
Filed under: uncultured bacterium
Lineage: Bacteria
Description: partial 16S ribosomal RNA
Rfam family: Bacterial small subunit ribosomal RNA
Source: RNAcentral